UAGUCCACGCCGUAAACGAUGUCUACUAGCCGUUGGGAGACUUGAUUUCUUAGUGGCGCAGCUAACGCAAUAAGUAGACCGCCUGGGGAGUACGGCCGCAAGGUUAAAACUCAAAUGAAUUGACGGGGGCCCGCACAAGCGGUGGAGCAUGUGGUUUAAUUCGAUGCAACGCGAAGAACCUUACCAGGUCUUGACAUCCUGCGAAUUUUCUAGAGAUAGAUUAGUGCCUCCGGGAACGCAGUGACAGGUGCUGCAUGGCUGUCGUCAGCUCGUGUCGUGAGAUGUUGGGUUAAGUCCCGUAACGAGCGCAACCCUUGUCCUUAUUUGCCAGCACAUAAUGGUGGGAACUCUAAGGAGACUGCCGGUGACAAACCGGGAGGAAGGUGGGGACGACGUCAAGUCAUCAUGGCCCUUACGACCUGGGGCUACACACGUGCCACAAUGGCCGGGUACAGAGGGAUGCUACCUCGUAAGAGCACGCAAAUCCCAAAAAGCCGGGUACUC
This 504-nucleotide ribosomal RNA is filed under the name uncultured bacterium. Its description in RNAcentral is "bacterial SSU rRNA". It matches the Rfam family "Bacterial small subunit ribosomal RNA", at positions 791 to 1289 of the family's 1533-position model. The record is from RNAcentral.